This 492-nucleotide ribosomal RNA is filed under the name uncultured bacterium. Its description in RNAcentral is "partial 16S ribosomal RNA". It matches the Rfam family "Bacterial small subunit ribosomal RNA", at positions 29 to 507 of the family's 1533-position model. The record is from RNAcentral.
AGUGAACGCUGGCGGUAGGCCUAACACAUGCAAUUCUAACGGCCGCACAGUAAGAGCUUUCUCUUGCGGGUGGCGAGUGGCGGACGGGUGAGGCAUACAUCGGAAUCUACUUUUUCGUGGGGGAUAACGUAGGGAAACUUACGCUAAUACCGCAUACGACCUACGGGUGAAAGCAGGGGAUCUUCGGACCUUGCGCGAUUGAAUGAGCCGAUGUCGGAUUAGCUAGUUGGCGGGGUAAAGGCCCACCAAGGCGACGAUCCGUAGCUGGUCUGAGAGGAUGAUCAGCCACACUGGAACUGAGACACGGUCCAGACUCCUACGGGAGGCAGCAGUGGGGAAUAUUGGACAAUGGGCGCAAGCCUGAUCCAGCCAUACCGCGUGGGUGAAGAAGGCGUUACGCUUGUACAGUACUCUUGUCUCGAAAGAACAGGAGCUGGAUCAUAGCUCGGCGUACUGACGGUACCGAAAGAAUAUGGAGCGGCUAAUGGAGUG